Long non-coding RNA from Suricata suricatta (meerkat), 709 nucleotides. RefSeq lists it as uncharacterized. The transcript is spliced from 3 exons. Lineage: Eukaryota; Metazoa; Chordata; Mammalia; Carnivora; Herpestidae. The record is from RefSeq and is a predicted model, not a curated record.
GGGCGUUCAGCGCAGGGCCCAUGGGGCACUCAGCCCCCAGCCCCCACUGCCUGGUCCAGGGAGAGGCACCAGCCACACCCAGCUUCUCCUUCCCGCAAAGGAUUUCUGCGGAGAGAGAAGGAACGGGCAGGCCCCUGCCCGUGGGACAUUAGCAGUCUCUGGAGACACGGGCCGCUAACAUGUGAACAUGGAAAUGGCUGAGAAGAGCUUCCAAACAGCCAGCGUCCUGUGGGAGGACCCGUGCGGGCACUUGCCUCUGGCCCGUGGAUCAUGUGGGCAGCCCGCUCUGCAGACUCUCAGAGGGGAAGAGAGAAAGAAAAGUGCAACAAGACCCCGGAGCGAGCAGAACCUGUGAGAGGAUGUGGGUCAAGGGCGUGCGGCCCACAGCACGUGUGCGUCACCACGGCCCCCGGGGGAGCGGGCGGCAUGUCAGCCCCCAGACGCAGUCCUGCCCACGAGAACGUGCAGACUUCGCCCAGGCCACGGGAGACGAGAGAAUUCCUUCUCUAAUUGACUCUUCACUGGAGAGUAAUUAACCUCAAAACUGUUUACUGCCGGGAUCUGCAGCGCCUCUCCGAUACCGUAAUUUGAAGGAUGGGUAUAUGUUAGAUUAAAACUCUUUCCGAGUUUGCUAUUACCCUCUCUAAACACGCGAAGGCCCUAUAUUGAGGAUCUCAGAUUUGGUAUAAUUAACUUUUAAGGGCUUGAA